RNAcentral lists this ribosomal RNA (253 nucleotides) under uncultured bacterium. Its description in RNAcentral is "partial 16S ribosomal RNA". It matches the Rfam family "Bacterial small subunit ribosomal RNA", at positions 524 to 776 of the family's 1533-position model. The record is from RNAcentral.
UACGUAGGCAGCGAGCGUUGUUCGGAAUUACGGGGCGUAAAGAGUGUGUAGGCGGUGCUCUAAGUCUGUCGUGAAAUCUCCCGGCUUAACUGGGAGGGUGCGGCGGAAACUGGUGUGCUCGAGGGUGGGAGAGGUAAGCGGAAUUCCUGGUGUAGCGGUGAAAUGCGUAGAUAUCAGGAGGAACACCUGCGGUGUAGACGGCUUUCUGGACCAUUGCUGACGCUGAGACACGAAAGCGUGGGUAGCAAACAGG